GGCGAACGCUGGCGGCGUGCUUAACACAUGCAAGUCGAACGGAAAGGGCCUGCUGUUUGCGUGUGUUCGAGUGGCUAACGGGUGGGUAACACGUGCGUAACCUGCCCUUCACUCUGGGGUAACUUCCAGAAACUGGGGCCUACUCCUGCCAGAUGCUCCCUCUGCAUGGUGUGGGGGGUAGAUUUUCGGCGGUUGGGGAUGGUCUCGCGGCUUAUCAGCUUGUUGGUGGGGUAGUGGCUUACCAAGGCUGUGACGGGUCGCCGGACUGAGAGGGUGACCGGCCACAUUGGGACUGAGAUACGGCCCGGACUCCUACGGGAGGCAGCAGUGGGGAAUAUUGCACAAUGGGCGGAAGCCUGAUGCAGCAACGCCGCGUGCGGGAUGUCGGCCUUCGGGUUGUAAACCGCUUUCGCCUGUGACGAAGCGUGAGUGACGGUAACGGGUAAAGAAGCACCGGCUAACUACGUG
Molecule: ribosomal RNA, 468 nt
Filed under: uncultured bacterium
Lineage: Bacteria
Description: partial 16S ribosomal RNA
Rfam family: Bacterial small subunit ribosomal RNA
Source: RNAcentral